GGUGGAGCAUGUGGUUUAAUUAGAAGCAACGCGAAGAACCUUACCAAAUCUUGACAUCCUUUGACCGCUCUAGAGAUAGAGUUUUCCCCUUCGGGGGACAAAGUGACAGGUGGUGCAUGGUUGUCGUCAGCUCGUGUCGUGAGAUGUUGGGUUAAGUCCCGCAACGAGCGCAACCCUUAAACUUAGUUGCCAGCAUUUAGUUGGGCACUCUAAGUUGACUGCCGGUGACAAACCGGAGGAAGGUGGGGAUGACGUCAAAUCAUCAUGCCCCUUAUGAUUUGGGCUACACACGUGCUACAAUGGACAAUACAAAGGGCAGCGAAACCGCGAGGUCAAGCAAAUCCCAUAAAGUUGUUCUCAGUUCGGAUUGUAGUCUGCAACUCGACUACAUGAAGCUGGAAUCGCUAGUAAUCGUAGAUCAGCAUGCUACGGUGAAUACGUUCCCGGGUCUUGUACACACCGCCCGUCACACCACGAGAGUUUGUAACACCCGAAGCCGGUGGAGUAACCAUUUUGGAGCUAGCCGUCGAAGGUGGGACAAAUGAUUGGGGUGAAGUCGUAACAAGGUAGCCGUAUCGGAAGGUGCGGCUGGAACACCUCAUUCUA
RNAcentral lists this ribosomal RNA (606 nucleotides) under Staphylococcus devriesei. RNAcentral's name for it is "bacterial SSU rRNA". It matches the Rfam family "Bacterial small subunit ribosomal RNA", at positions 931 to 1533 of the family's 1533-position model. The record is from RNAcentral. Lineage: Bacteria; Bacillati; Bacillota; Bacilli; Caryophanales; Staphylococcaceae.